Molecule: transfer RNA, 78 nt
Filed under: Acidobacteriota bacterium
Lineage: Bacteria; Pseudomonadati; Acidobacteriota
Also listed under: 1 other name
Description: Acidobacteria bacterium tRNA-Pro
Rfam family: tRNA
About the family: Transfer RNA (tRNA) molecules are approximately 80 nucleotides in length. Their secondary structure includes four short double-helical elements and three loops (D, anti-codon, and T loops).
Source: RNAcentral
CGGGGCGUGGCUCAGCCUGGUUAGAGCGCACGGUUCGGGACCGUGAGGUCGGUGGUUCGAAUCCACUCGCCCCGACCA